GCCAGUAUGGUGUAGUGGUUUAAGCAUUAGACUAUCACUCUGGAUACCAGGGUUUGAAUCCCUGCUUGCC
Phrynosoma platyrhinos (Desert horned lizard) is the source of this 70-nucleotide non-coding RNA. The record is from the annotation of a GenBank genome assembly. NCBI's taxonomy places the organism in Eukaryota, Metazoa, Chordata, Lepidosauria, Squamata, Phrynosomatidae.